AUUCCGAAUUGUUUAAUUUGGUUCUUUGAAAUAAUUCAAGCUUUUUAUUGUUAAGUUUCUAUAGAUCUAUGAAAAUACUCACCAUUUAUGUUGUUUGGUAUCUGAUUGUGGACUUGGUAAUGUCUGAGAUAAAGCUUGUAGAUGUUCUUGAAUUGAGUUAUACUUCAAAAGAUGAGCCUCAUCCUCGUCGAGAGAUUUGUGGUAGAUUUCGUACUAUUUUUGAAGGCUAUUACAAAGAUUAAGUGUAGAGGUACAAACCUUUUGCUUACUGAUAUAUUUUUUUUCUCAUUGAUAUCUGUUUAUUGACCUAGUAGUUAACAGGAAGGAGGUAAUUUAUGAUUACUAUUGGACGAUUACUGGUGUUAUUGGAGUAUGGUCACUUGGAGGAAAUUUGAAUAUUAUUGAAAGGGUUGAAUAUUAUAAAUGCUUAUUGAGGACAGGAAGAAGAAUAAUAUAUUAAAGUUGGGUUCUCACUUGUAACGUUUGUGUCAUGUCAGUAUUGGAUGAGUACGAUGUUUAAUAGCUAGAUAAUUGGGCUUGUUAAUUGGACAGCUGCUGGAUGGGGGAAUAUGGGUGGUGGUUCUAAUCAACUCCUUAUGCCUUUGAUCUAUGAUAUAAUUCAUAGAGUUGGGACAACUCCGUUUACUGCUCGGAGUAGCGCGUUAUUUAUUCCUGGUUGGCUUCAUGUUAUUAUGGGAAUUUUGCUUUAACUCUUGGUCAAGACUUGCCUGAUGGUAACCUUGCUUCUUUACAGAAGAAAGGUGAUGUUACAAAAGAUAAGUAAU
Long non-coding RNA from Capsicum annuum, 785 nucleotides. RefSeq lists it as uncharacterized. NCBI's taxonomy places the organism in Eukaryota, Viridiplantae, Streptophyta, Magnoliopsida, Solanales, Solanaceae. The transcript is spliced from 3 exons. The record is from RefSeq and is a predicted model, not a curated record.